UUGCGCAAGUAAUGUUUUAAUCCGCAAUAUUAGCAAUCUUCUGCCUCGGCCUCAGGCCUAUUCUUUUAAACAGAAUCACUGCCCGGACACAGCGUCCAGCGCGACUCGCCGAAUCAGGCCAGUCGCGGCCUUCCACCCAAUAGGGUGUGUCAGGCCCCCGGGCUACAUACUGUCCAGAAGACGGCAUGAGGUGAGCCAGCGUCAAAAGCGCUGCGCCAGGACGAAGUAUCUCAAGGGGGGCCAUUUGGUCCCCUU
This 255-nucleotide small RNA is filed under the name Pseudomonas syringae. Its description in RNAcentral is "Pseudomonas sRNA P24". It matches the Rfam family "Pseudomonas sRNA P24". From Rfam's summary of the family: P24 is conserved across several Pseudomonas species and in Azotobacter vinelandii. It appears to be consistently located between a hypothetical protein gene and a transcriptional regulator gene (AsnC family) in the genomes of all these species. Lineage: Bacteria; Pseudomonadati; Pseudomonadota; Gammaproteobacteria; Pseudomonadales; Pseudomonadaceae. The record is from RNAcentral.